GGAGUUGUGGCUCAGCUGUGGAGCACUUGCCUGGCAUGCACGAGGCCCUGGGUUCGAUACCCAGCACCA
Molecule: transfer RNA, 69 nt
Filed under: Ictidomys tridecemlineatus (thirteen-lined ground squirrel)
Lineage: Eukaryota; Metazoa; Chordata; Mammalia; Rodentia; Sciuridae
Description: Spermophilus tridecemlineatus (thirteen-lined ground squirrel) tRNA
Rfam family: tRNA
About the family: Transfer RNA (tRNA) molecules are approximately 80 nucleotides in length. Their secondary structure includes four short double-helical elements and three loops (D, anti-codon, and T loops). Further hydrogen bonds mediate the characteristic L-shaped molecular structure. tRNAs have two regions of fundamental functional importance: the anti-codon, which is responsible for specific mRNA codon recognition, and the 3' end, to which the tRNAs corresponding amino acid is attached (by aminoacyl-tRNA synthetases). tRNAs cope with the degeneracy of the genetic code in two manners: having more than one tRNA (with a specific anti-codon) for a particular amino acid; and 'wobble' base-pairing, i.e. permitting non-standard base-pairing at the 3rd anti-codon position.
Source: Rfam by way of RNAcentral